Molecule: long non-coding RNA, 324 nt
Filed under: Homo sapiens (human)
Lineage: Eukaryota; Metazoa; Chordata; Mammalia; Primates; Hominidae
Description: HSALNT0374416
Source: RNAcentral
GGCCAGAGGCAUCUGAGGUGAGAAAUAAGCCCAUGUUGGCAUCCUUGGCAUCCCUCAGGAAGACCUGAAGUGAGAGCCUUGGAAAGUCAGGAUCCAGCAGGAGGACAUUUUGCUCUCUUGAGCAUUUGCUGUCAAGUAUCCAGAUGCAGAAGUCUUACUUCCUGCUUUUCUAUGACAUCAUCCUUCAGAAGGCGGGGCAUAGGCAAGAACAUGAUAAAGCACUUCUCCUUCCUGCCAUCAUGUGAAGAAGGAUGUGUUUGCUUCCCCUUCUGCCAGGAUUGUACGUUUCCUGAAGCCUCCCCAGCCUGCAGAACUGUGAGUCAA